GAAGAAAGGUGGAGGAAGGACAACAAACUGUCUCUUGCUGGCUCUCCCUUGGUCUGCAGUGGAGAACCACGUGGUCCCUGUCUGCUUUUGCCUGCAGUCUACAGAGGACCAGAAUUAUUCACAAAAUCAAUGACUAUGUCUACUCCAGUGAAUUUCAUUGUCUGCCUCUGGAAGUGCAACCAACUGGUAAAGAACAUCACUUCAAAUUACUUUCAGAAAUGAAGAUCUGGAAAGUCAUUAUAAGUACAUUGUCUAUAAGCAAUAGGAAAUAUUGGAAUGAACUGUCAUACCUGUAAACUAUG
Coturnix japonica (Japanese quail) is the source of this 302-nucleotide long non-coding RNA. RefSeq lists it as uncharacterized. The record is from RefSeq and is a predicted model, not a curated record. Lineage: Eukaryota; Metazoa; Chordata; Aves; Galliformes; Phasianidae.